RNAcentral lists this ribosomal RNA (367 nucleotides) under uncultured soil bacterium. RNAcentral describes it as "bacterial SSU rRNA". It matches the Rfam family "Bacterial small subunit ribosomal RNA", at positions 26 to 388 of the family's 1533-position model. The record is from RNAcentral.
AGAUUGAACGCUGGCGGCAGGCCUAACACAUGCAAGUCGAGCGGUAGAGAGGUGCUUGCAUCUCUUGAGAGCGGCGGACGGGUGAGUAAUGCCUAGGAAUCUGCCUAGUGGUGGGGGAUAACGUUCGGAAACGGACGCUAAUACCGCAUACGUCCUACGGGAGAAAGCGGGGGACCUUCGGGCCUCGCGCCAUUAGAUGAGCCUAGGUCGGAUUAGCUUGUUGGCGGGUAAAAGCCCACAAGGCGACGAUCCGUAGCUGGUCUGAGGGAUGAUCAGCCACACUGGAACUGAGACACGGUCCAGACUCCGUACGGGAGGCAGGCAAGGUGGGGAAUUAGUUGGAACAAGUGGGACGACAAGCCUAGAA